Long non-coding RNA from Glycine soja, 237 nucleotides. RefSeq lists it as uncharacterized. The transcript has 3 exons. The record is from RefSeq and is a predicted model, not a curated record. NCBI's taxonomy places the organism in Eukaryota, Viridiplantae, Streptophyta, Magnoliopsida, Fabales, Fabaceae.
AUUUGUUGACGCGUCCCACUUUUCCUUGGCUUCAUCUCAGAGGCGUGCUUCGUUGCUUUGCCUCUCUUCUUCUUCAGCUAAGUCCUAAUAUUUGUCUUCAGGGGAUGAGGUUAUGGUGGGAAAACAUGAUUAUGAAGCUGAAAUUGGAUAAAUUGGAGCCUUGAAGGACAAUCAAUUGCAGAAGAUGCGCAAUUGUACAAAAGAGUUCUCAUGGAUAGGGUUGCCAUGGACGUGUAA